Long non-coding RNA from Trachemys scripta elegans, 538 nucleotides. RefSeq lists it as uncharacterized. The record is from RefSeq and is a predicted model, not a curated record. The transcript is spliced from 3 exons. Lineage: Eukaryota; Metazoa; Chordata; Testudines; Emydidae.
GCUGAUCGCAGAGAUAGAGAAGUGUCAGCAACCAGUUUUUGAGCUGCUAAAGGAUGUGAAAAGCACAUUGAGCAGGAGUGAGAAUGUGAAACUCCAGGAACCAGAAGCAGUUUCUACUGACCUGAAGACUGUGUAUAAAAUUUCCCUUGACAUGAGGGAGGCGCUGAAGAGAUUCGGAGGUGAGUGGAUUCUACUGGGACAUUCAGCUGUAUUGUGCCUGGGGAUCUGGACAGGGCCUGGGACCCCAGGACACGCAUGGACCCAGCUGACAGGCUUGGAGCUGUUUGAUAGCUGGAGGCUGAUGUGCUCAGUGCUGGGCAGUUUGCCUGCUACUUACAGCCACCUGCUGGUACUUGUCCAGGUAUCUGACCAGGCCCCGUCACUCUGACAUCCUGACCCCUCCAUGGCUGAGUUAAUGGGUGUCACUGAGCCAGGAGCCGUGAGGCCUGGACUGGGCCCAUUGUGCUGGGUGCUGCACAGACUGGUAACGGAGGACGUGUCUGUGCCUCUCUCCUGGGACAUGUGAGGGCUGCGUUAU